This 449-nucleotide ribosomal RNA is filed under the name uncultured bacterium. Its description in RNAcentral is "partial 16S ribosomal RNA". It matches the Rfam family "Bacterial small subunit ribosomal RNA", at positions 29 to 523 of the family's 1533-position model. The record is from RNAcentral.
AACGAACGCUUGCGGCAGGCUUAACACAUGCAAGUCGAACGGUGUAGCAAUACACAGUGGCGCACGGGUGAGUAACGCGUGGGAACGUGCCCUUCAGUACGGAAUAACGUCGGGAAACUGACGCUAAUACCGUAUAUUCCUGCCGGGGGAAAGAUUUAUCGCUGAAGGUUCGGCCCGCGUUUGAUUAGGGAGUUGGUGGGGUAAUGGCCUACCAAGCCUACGAUCUAUAGCUGGUCUGAGAGGAUGAUCAGCCACACUGGAACUGAGACACGGUCCAGACUCCUACGGGAGGCAGCAGUGGGGAAUAUUGGACAAUGGGGGAAACCCUGAUCCAGCCAUGCCGCGUGAGUGAUGAAGGCCUUAGGGUUGUAAAGCUCUUUUGUCAGGGAAGAUGAUGACGGUACCUGAAGAAUAAGCACCGGCUAACUUCGUGCCAGCCGCCGCGGUAA